AGCGAACGCUGGCGGCAGGCCUAACACAUGCAAGUCGAACGAACCUUUCGGGGUUAGUGGCGGACGGGUGAGUAACACGUGGGAACGUGCCUUUAGGUUCGGAAUAACUCAGGGAAACUUGUGCUAAUACCGAAUGUGCCCUUCGGGGGAAAGAUUUAUCGCCUUUAGAGCGGCCUGCGUCCGAUUAGCUAGUUGGUUGAGGUAAUGGCUCACCAAGGCGACGAUCAGUAGCUGGUCUGAGAGGAUGAUCAGCCACAUUGGGACUGAGACACGGCCCAAACUCCUACGGGAGGCAGCAGUGGGGAAUCUUGCGCAAUGGGCGAAAGCCUGACGCAGCCAUGCCGCGUGAAUGAUGAAGGUCUUAGGAUUGUAAAAUUCUUUCACCGGGGACGAUAAUGACGGUACCCGGAGAAGAAGCCCCGGCUAACUUCGUG
Molecule: ribosomal RNA, 434 nt
Filed under: uncultured bacterium
Lineage: Bacteria
Description: partial 16S ribosomal RNA
Rfam family: Bacterial small subunit ribosomal RNA
Source: RNAcentral